RNAcentral lists this transfer RNA (72 nucleotides) under Candidatus Pacearchaeota archaeon. RNAcentral describes it as "tRNA-Arg". It matches the Rfam family "tRNA". Rfam says of the family: Transfer RNA (tRNA) molecules are approximately 80 nucleotides in length. Their secondary structure includes four short double-helical elements and three loops (D, anti-codon, and T loops). Further hydrogen bonds mediate the characteristic L-shaped molecular structure. tRNAs have two regions of fundamental functional importance: the anti-codon, which is responsible for specific mRNA codon recognition, and the 3' end, to which the tRNAs corresponding amino acid is attached (by aminoacyl-tRNA synthetases). tRNAs cope with the degeneracy of the genetic code in two manners: having more than one tRNA (with a specific anti-codon) for a particular amino acid; and 'wobble' base-pairing, i.e. permitting non-standard base-pairing at the 3rd anti-codon position. Lineage: Archaea; Nanobdellati. The record is from RNAcentral.
GGGCCCAUAGUUUAGUGGAUAGAAUAGUCGGCUUCGGACCGACUGACCGAGGUUCAAUUCCUCGUGGGCCCA